AGCAGUAGCCACGGUAAUACAGAGGGUGCGAGCGUUAAUCGGAUUUACUGGGCGUAAAGCGUGCGUAGGCGGCUUCUUAAGUCGGAUGUGAAAUCCCUGAGCUUAACUUAGGAAUUGCAUUCGAUACUGGGAAGCUAGAGUAUGGGAGAGGAUGGUAGAAUUCCAGGUGUAGCGGUGAAAUGCGUAGAGAUCUGGAGGAAUACCGAUGGCGAAGGCAGCCAUCUGGCCUAAUACUGACGCUGAGGUACGAAAGCAUGGGGAGCAAACAGGAUUAGAUACCCGGGUAGUCCCUGUCUCUUAUAA
RNAcentral lists this ribosomal RNA (303 nucleotides) under uncultured bacterium. Its description in RNAcentral is "partial 16S ribosomal RNA". It matches the Rfam family "Bacterial small subunit ribosomal RNA", at positions 507 to 809 of the family's 1533-position model. The record is from RNAcentral.